CAAAACUUUAACUACUUUGAAAUCUUGCCAAAAUAUAACUUUAAACGAAUAACAUAAAGAGGAAUUUUGAUUUCGGGGGUCAUCAAACUGUUUUCAAUCAAAUUAUGAUGAAACUUUGCCAAAACAAACCCCAAAACAAUAAGGAACCCCAAUCCCAAUAGUAGGCCACCAAGAACCGUCAGCCGAACCCCGAUCCCAUAUCACUUUCAAGGUCAUUAGCCAUGCAAUCAAUAUGAGGCGGCCCGAAGGACAAGGCAGUUUAUUUAGUAUAUUUCGUUGCCAAUUUGUUGAGACAACCGGAACAGCACAAGAUAUUACAAACUUUUCUCUCUCUUUGCGGAUAUAAAAGGUUCGCCUCGUUGGCGUCCAAAGGAGCACACGAGAUAUCCGGGACGUCCUUUUUUUCGGGCAUAAUAAAAUGAAAUUACAAGCUGUCGUCGGGACGAAUUUAGCAUGUGAGCCUUGCCUGCUCCUGACACACAUAUUUCAUCUUUAUGGUUUUGUUUUUUUCGACCGCACACAUGAGCAUAUUUUUGAGACAUUUAUGCGACAACCGCACACUCCACUGACAAGUAUGUCCCUGGCAUAUGUUGCCACAUGUACGCUAUUCUUUUGAGCUAAUUAAAUAAGCCAAAGGUAUUAUGCAA
This 647-nucleotide small RNA is filed under the name Drosophila ananassae. Its description in RNAcentral is "GF26659". Lineage: Eukaryota; Metazoa; Arthropoda; Insecta; Diptera; Drosophilidae. The record is from RNAcentral.